RNAcentral lists this ribosomal RNA (253 nucleotides) under uncultured bacterium. Its description in RNAcentral is "partial 16S ribosomal RNA". It matches the Rfam family "Bacterial small subunit ribosomal RNA", at positions 524 to 776 of the family's 1533-position model. The record is from RNAcentral.
UACGAAGGGGGCUAGCGUUGCUCGGAAUGACUGGGCGUAAAGGGCGCGUAGGCGGUGCGGUAAGUCUGUAGUGAAAUCUCUGGGCUCAACUCAGAGUCUGCUGCAGAAACUGCCGUGCUUGAGUGUGGGAGAGGUGAGUGGAAUUCCCAGUGUAGCGGUGAAAUGCGUAGAUAUCGGGAGGAACACCUGUGGCGAAAGCGGCUCACUGGACCACAACUGACGCUGAGGCGCGAAAGCUAGGGGAGCAAACAGG